RNAcentral lists this ribosomal RNA (256 nucleotides) under uncultured bacterium. Its description in RNAcentral is "partial 16S ribosomal RNA". It matches the Rfam family "Bacterial small subunit ribosomal RNA", at positions 15 to 280 of the family's 1533-position model. The record is from RNAcentral.
GAUCCUGGCUCAGGAUGAACGCUGGCGGCGUGCCUAACACAUGCAAGUCGAGCGAACUUCUUCGGAAGUGAGCGGCGGACGGGUGAGUAACGCGUGGGUAACCUGCCCUAUACACACGGAUAACGUACCGAAAGGUACGCUAAUACGAGAUAACAUAUUUUUAUCGCAUGGUAAGAAUAUCAAAGCUCCGGCGGUAUAGGAUGGACCCGCGUCUAAUUAGCUAGUUGGUAAGGUAACGGCUUACCAAGGCGACGAU